CCUACGGGGGGCAGCAGUGGGGAAUAUUGGACAAUGGGCGAAAGCCUGAUCCAGCCAUGCCGCGUGUGUGAAGAAGGCCUUCGGGUUGUAAAGCACUUUCAGUGGGGAAGAAAGCCUUGGGGCUAAUACCCUCGAGGAAGGACAUCACCCACAGAAGAAGCACCGGCUAACUCCGUGCCAGCAGCCGCGGUAAUACGGAGGGUGCGAGCGUUAAUCGGAAUUACUGGGCGUAAAGCGCGCGUAGGCGGUCUGAUAAGCCGGUUGUGAAAGCCCCGGGCUCAACCUGGGAACGGCAUCCGGAACUGUCAAGCUAGAGUGCAGGAGAGGAAGGUAGAAUUCCCGGUGUAGCGGUGAAAUGCGUAGAGAUCGGGAGGAAUACCAGUGGCGAAGGCGACCUUCUGGACUGACACUGACGCUGAGGUGCGAAAGCGUGGGUAGCAAACAGGAUUAGAUACCCGAGUAGUC
RNAcentral lists this ribosomal RNA (465 nucleotides) under Vreelandella stevensii. RNAcentral describes it as "partial 16S ribosomal RNA". It matches the Rfam family "Bacterial small subunit ribosomal RNA", at positions 338 to 795 of the family's 1533-position model. The record is from RNAcentral. Lineage: Bacteria; Pseudomonadati; Pseudomonadota; Gammaproteobacteria; Oceanospirillales; Halomonadaceae.